Molecule: RNA transcript, 836 nt
Organism: Portunus trituberculatus (swimming crab)
Lineage: Eukaryota; Metazoa; Arthropoda; Malacostraca; Decapoda; Portunidae
Exons: 3
Source: RefSeq, a predicted model, not a curated record
AAGACCGAAGCAAGGUGAGGACUUCCAGUUUGCCCGCUGGAUUAUUCGUUCACCAGACCCCACGCCGGCACCAAUUCCUUUCAAGACUGCGUCGGCUAGGGUGUGUUCCUUUUUUGCCGCUCGGGGUGCUGCUGUACAUAUAUAGCAGCGCGAGCGAUGGGAUGGACGUCGAGCUUGACCUACAUACGACGUAAGAGUGGCUUUAAGUGGCGUUGUGAUGUGCCGCUGUUGUGUAGCACAGCACAGCACAGCACAGCACAGCACAGCACAGCAGAGGAGUUGCCGAUACUAAAGCCCAACUGCAGCGUUCCCAAGCCGCCUCUACCAAAAGGGAGGGAUUCUGCCUGACCCGACUUCUUUACUGCUUUUCCCCUCCUAACAUCUCCCGUCGCUACCGCCACUCUGGGAAGGACUCUGCCUCGCAUCGCACCCCAACGCCCGCCGCCACCCAGGAAGAACUCUGCCUUGCACCGCACUGCCCGGUAAACUCUCCGCCACCGUUGUCGCCACCGCUGCCGUCGGCGUCCAGGGAGAGACUCCGCCUGUCACCGGACUGUUCCUGCUGCAGCUUAUGGAGGGAAUUGAGUUCUGGCUUGCCUUGCCAAUAUUUCCUUACUGGUGUUUGUACUUGUACGGCAAUGGUGUUGAUGCCAUUACUAAAUUGUAAUAAAUUAUUUUUAGUGUUCCGUCAGUGUGGUAUUGAUGUAUUUGCACAAGUGUAGUGUUGUGGUGCCUUUACUGAUUUGUAAUAAAUGGUUUAAUUCCCUCGUUGUGCUGCUAAUGUACUUGCAUAGCGACUGUGACACUGCUGAAUAGUAAUAAAUUGUGAAAUUUGU